GGAAAUCCUAUUUCUUUUAGACAAGGAAAAAAUACUUUUGCAAGCCUAUACACAUUUCCAAAAUCUCAUCUAUACCAGCAUUCCUUGAAAAACAGCAUGGGAAACAUCCUUAUAGGCCAUACAGUUGUUUCGAUUGCCUCCAUCACCAGAGAAGGAAGAUGAGACCAAAUGGGUGUGGGGAGAGUUAAGAAGAUAAAAAGCCCGGCGUUCAUUUUCCCUCCUCCUUCUCUCGCACGAACCUUCUGAGUGGCGGUGAGCUUUGAGGCAUGCGCUAAGGGGAAAGGUUGCCUUUUCCCUGAACUGUAGCAAUUCCAGUUAUGGAUGAGGAGCGAAAACAACAAAUACGAGCUUCCCAGUCCCCAUCGAAGAGGCGGUUUCCCCCAGACACAAGUGUGCUAGAAAGGAUUUAUUACUGCACAUGCCCAGUGAUUAAUAGGCAGAUACGUCAGAUGUCUCAAUGUUUGUUGUCCUGCACAAAAGGCGGAUGGACACAUUUGGUCUGGGGAAAUUGAUGAAUCAGCUGAAAGCCCCCAGCAGGAGACCAGAAACAUCAGCGGUUCAAAACAGGCCAGAUGACCUCCUUCAAACACACACCUAAACCAUUCUCAGGGCCUCUACUGUGAGCCUCAGACACACAUGAGAGACCCUGGGUCUCUCCGUGUGAUCUAUGUCAGUCAUCUUAGGGGUGUAUCGACCACUGGCGAUGUUUCCACUUACUCCUCUUUAGAAUGAAAGAGAGUUCACAAAGGCUACUGUGUCAUGAAGCAUAAGGGAACCGGGAGGUUGGGUGAUUCACCUGCUUGGAGAUGUUGGGAAGGAAAACAAAAUGGCAACAAUUAGAAAAAGUGACUGUGUACCUACUCCGUUGAUUACUCCUCUUGAGAUCGAUAGAUACCUAUACGCAUAUACACAGACGUACAUGCAUAUAUAGACAUACGCGCACACGUCUGUCUGUGUGCACGUCGUAUGGGAAACUACGUACAGACCGGCGGUGGAGGCAUUAAUUUGCGUUCAGAAGAAAACACUGAAUCUCAGAGGUUAGGAAACUUGCUCGUUGACACAGACUCUGUAAAUGACAAAUCUCAUGACUUGGGGCACGUCUCGAACUGUUCUGAGCCUUAGCUGAAAUGAAAAUCGAUGCUUGCCACCGGGAAUCCUUGAAACACUGUACCUGAGACCACCUCUGGGCCUGACACGAAGCAGCGGGUCGUUACACGUAUGUUGCGAUAAAUUUGGCCCCGGGGACCGCCAGGUGCCAUCUCCAGGCGGAUGGACCCUGGAGGAGCCGAAAAGCCACUCCCUGUUUAACUCUGGGGCCGCCGUAAAGGUGACUGUGCGCACUACUGGAAUGGAUUCUCUGUGAUACGAGCAGAAGUCAGAAUACAGCAUGCCACCCUCAUUACGCUUUAAUUGAACUACAAUGUACAUCACCGCUUGGCAUAGGCCCUUUGAAGUGCGGGCAUCACCACCCUGCCUCAUGGGAACGUGCGCCGUUACCACCAGCGUAACUGU
This 1512-nucleotide long non-coding RNA is filed under the name Felis catus (domestic cat). RNAcentral describes it as "lncRNA (ENSFCAG00000041582.2)". The record is from RNAcentral. Lineage: Eukaryota; Metazoa; Chordata; Mammalia; Carnivora; Felidae.